Long non-coding RNA from Hemibagrus wyckioides, 7991 nucleotides. RefSeq lists it as uncharacterized. Lineage: Eukaryota; Metazoa; Chordata; Actinopteri; Siluriformes; Bagridae. The transcript is spliced from 8 exons. The record is from RefSeq and is a predicted model, not a curated record.
CAGCAGGAGGAGAGAAAAAAAAGACUGACUGCAAGGCUUAAUUAUCAUCUUUUGUAUGCUGUUUUAUACCUAGUGCUGGUACUGUUUACUGUUAUAUGUGUAGACCUAUAUAUAAAAGCGUUGAAGACGUAGUGUAAAGCUGAUUUUUUUUUGGUCUCUCUUUCUUUCGCGCGUGCUCUCUCCCUCUCUCUCUCUCUCUCUCUCUCUCUUGAGCAGCGAAUCCGUCCUGAGUUUCCAAGCGAAAGUUGCAUGGAGACACACAGCGUAAGACGCGUGUAAUGAAGAGAAUGGUGAGAGAGGGAGAGAUAAAAGAGAAGGAAAGCGGCAACAAACUCAUACCAAGCGAGAUCACAACAGAUCUCCACCGAUUAGUUUACGAGUUGUUUUAGGCAACAGAAAAAAGGGCAUCUUGGCAGUAUUGUAACCAAAAACCACUGCAUCGAUGCAACAGAGCCGACUCGGAGCUCUUGCACGGAGUUGGAGAGGCAGAAAUUAAUGUACAUUGCAUGCACUCCACGUAACGCUCCGGAGCGAUGCCUUUGUGAGUGUUUUUUUUCGUACUGCGAGCUAAAAAUAGCAGCAGUGUUUGAUCGCGCUCCAGAAAUAGGCAGUGGGGUAACACAAGUAUAAAAAGGACUGCAAUUCUGAGAAACCUUGGACAUUGCUGAGCAAGGGCUCGCUGCAUAGCUUCAUGGACAUUAAAACGCCAUCUCUCUCUCGAGCAGGAAUCUCACAUAUCGUAAAUAUGACAGCCACAAAAGCAAGACCAAACUCAUUUGUCUGACGGCGCUGUUGAGCCAUUUUACGCUUUCUGUCUUCGCUACAACUGAAAGUUCGCGAAUGGAAAUCCCUACCAUCAGAUGAACACCGGGUGAUGUUGGUUUAAUAAAUGAAGAGGACACUAGAUGAAAGCAUGCACAGGAAAGAAGGAGUGCCAUGGGGCGCUAAAGGAGCGCUGCACCGGAGCCGACAAGAGGGGAACCCACAGGCUGCACAGUUGGGCUGAAAACACAAUGUGGCGUCAAGGGGAGCCUGUGCUACUGCUUGACCUGCGCCAAAAUUACUCUCAACUAGGCAUAGCUUCUUCUUCUUCUUCUUUUUUUUUACAUAGAUAUAUAUAUAUAUAUAUCGCCCGCAGAUGGACGCAGCAGCGCAGGCAGUCUGCUUCUCAGAGUCAUUCGAAAUGCAUCCUUAAGUUUCGUACUCAUAACUCCGCAUGACAGUUUUCCCGCCUGCUUUGUUCGUACAAUUCAGUUUGCAGUUAGAAGCUAAAGAUAAUAUGGCAAUAGGCGGGCUGACUUGGAUUACUCUUCCGCCCACGUCAUUUUCAUUAUACAGCUCUGCAACAGACUGUUUUUUUUUUCGUUGCUAUGAACUGAAAUACAGCUCUGCUGCUGGCACAUAUGCAUUCACUUUGUAUUUGUCAGUGUUGUCUACAGAGUAUCACCAGCAAUCACAAAAUGACGUCUGCCAGUACUCUUGACUUGACAGAUUGGUAACUCCGAGUCUGCAGCACACAGACGUCGCCGAAAUUUGGCACAAAUCUGUCGAAGUGCACGCUUUAGAGUGAGAAUACUUGCGCGUAAGAAACAACAGUUGGUAGGCGCAGCUAUCACGAUACAUCGUGCCAAAGAGCACCGUUACCACUGUAACAAUGUUGCUCGCAAGAGUCGACAUGGAUGGCAGAUUUCAGGUUUAUACGAGCCUUUUCUACCCGAAUAUCCGUCAUCCUAUUUAUCAUUGUUUAAUACCUACCAAGAUACAAUAGCCACAUGAAACAGACAAAAUUUGAAAUUGGCAAAUUAGUGCUACCAGGCAUGUAAACUAGGAUUCGGUGAGCACUGCUUGCUUACAUGGGAAACGACAAAACGAUGUAGAUAACCUUGACCUUAAGACCAUGUGGCUUUUCUUUGUUAAACGCACCUAGUCCAGACAUGCCAAGAUCUUCUUAAAUAAUGCAAUACUGGCGGUGUAAUUUUGGUGGCAAAACAGAUUUCUCGGAGUCGUGACUGCUAUAGUGAGUAAUAUGGGCGCGUUGGCUGCGUCAGGAGAUGCAGUCGCUGUGCGCUGCAGACGGAAGGGGGAGAAUCGUGACUGAAUGCUGGAGACGUCCGCAAACGAAACGACCACCCAAUAAAAUCCUCUUAAUGGCAUCUGGGCAAGAUAUUUACACAUGUUAUCUCUCUAGCCCUUUACUCUUUGCGUUGAGCCACCUCAACCUCCCUUUGCACCACCGAAGACAUGAGAAGAAUAUCUGUGAUUAAGGGGCGGGAGGGAGGAUCUUGGUUUGGGAUGAGUUCCGACUGGCGUGUGUGUGUGUUUGUGUGUGUGUGUGAGAGAGAGAGAGAGAGAGAGAGAGAGAGAGCGUAUGUGUGUGUGUGUGUGUGUGUGUGUGAGAGAAAGAGAGAGAGAGAGAGAGAGAGAGAGAGAGAGAGAGAGAGAGAGAGAGAGAGAGAGAGAGAGUGUAUACCGGGUGGGGAGGGGGGUCCAGAUAUAGAUCGUGACCCUCCCACCUAGUACAGUUUCUUGCAUAUAGUUCCAAAAAGGGAUUGCCAGAGACUUUGUGGUGCAUUUUGACAAAUGAUUACUAUGUGGAUAUAAGAACAGGAAUUCUCUGGGUUUACAAAAACUUCUAGAAGGAGUCUAGUUACUACAGACGUCUCAGCCUGUCCAUGGUGCUGCCCCAUGCAUACUGUUCACCUCGGCCCCUACCACCUGUGAUGAUGGCCUAGCUGAAGGCCUCACUUCAGAACCAUAUGCGAGGAUAUCUUACAACAGAUACCUGUCAGUAUUGUAAUAUUUAGCUCUAACAAACAGCUCCCAAUUAUAUCAAAGCAAUCAUGAGUAUUUCAGAACCUCAUAAGGGGUAUAGGCUACCAGUCAAACAUUUAGACACACCAUCCCAUAGAAGAGGUUUCUUCAUUCUUGCAUUCUUCUUAGAAGAAUGGAGACAUUAACACUGUAAAGUUAUAAAUGUGGAGUGACCAAGAAACAAAACCUUUAAUAUUUUUAAAUUCUUUUAGAUUUAGUGUUCUUGAUCAAGCUUUGCAUAUUCUUGGCAUUUAGAAACCCUGAUUCAAGACAGAGUUUCAGCAGUGAGGCUUAAAUAAGGCUGAACACUUGUUGUGUACUUGUUGUGUGCUUGUUCUAAGUUCUAAAUGUAAUUGUUUUAGGGAACCCAUUCAGUUUCAAGAAAAAUAAAUACUUAUUUUAUUUACUUAAAAAUCUAUUCAGUAUUGUUUCCCCAAAAAUAAAUGUAUACAUGACUAAAGGCACUAAACUGUUAUCAAUGCAUGUAAAAUGUAUAUGGACAUGGACAUGGACAGUUUUGGUCCACAAAUCAAGUCCUGUAAUAUAAGACGUGCCCCACACUGGACCUGUUGAACUAUAUGAGACGUAAGGAGCUUGUGAUGGUGAGGAUUAGUGAGUCUAUUAACCGUACUGAUAAAGUCUUUCACUUUUGUGAAAAGUUCUUCAAAUAUCCCAAAAAAAUAGGUGACUCAAUUAAUCAAUUCAACUGAAAAAUGUAAUAUGAAGACUUCUAAGGGAAGUAACGUGUACGUAUUUAAUGUAUCUAAACACACUUUUGAGAGAAGACACUGUUUCUAGCCAUUGUAGGUCAUUUCAUUGAAAAAGAGUCUUUCCUUUUUCUCUCCACAUCUGAUCAGCUCAGUGAAGGUCCAGUUCUCCGAGGUAUUAUAGGCAGGAACUCUCUCUGCUGCUCUCAUUUUUCAUUCAUUCAUUCAUUCUUUCUUUCAUUUAUUCAUCUGCUGUAACUACUUUAUCCUGGUCAGGGAUGCCAUGGAUUCCAGAACCUAUUCCAGGAACACUGAGUGAGUGAACUGAGAAUUACACACUGAAUUUAGUCCAUUGAAGAGAAACAUGCAUACAUUCUCACAUUCAUUCACAUCUAGUGGUCAUUUAGGGCUGCCAUGUUUUUGGUAGGUGGUAGAAAACAGGAUGUCCUGGAGUGAAACUCUGCACCAAGAGUCACCUGAUCUGGAGCUGGGAGAUAGCAACUGUGCUGCCUGCUCUCAAAUAUUUUCAGGAAAACUUAAACUUAAAAUGGAUUAGAAAACAAUAGUUUUUAAUUAAUAGAAAAAAAAGCAUGCAUGUGGUCUCGGAAUUCACGCAAGCAAAAAGUUGACAGUGAAAGUGUUAAACCUGAUCAACACCAGGGCAAAUCUGGACACAGUGGUGUUUAGGUGUUGACUUUAAUUUAAAGCACAUUGUUCUCUGAAUGCAAAUCAUUUUGUCUCUCUAAUAAUGCUUCUACCCUUAAUCUCUGUUCACUGUCUUUUUUGAGAUUAUGGAGGUCUGUAGAUCCACAUGUCUAUCUGAGGCACCAUCUCCAACGUUUUGCUGUAAAUGAGAGCGAGGCAGAAUCAAGGGACGAUAUGGGCAUGUGCUGAGAUCCAGAAUAAAGUGGAGGAAUCAGUCAACACAGCUAGGCAGCCAUUUAAGAAAAUCCACAAGAAGUUGGAUCUGCCUCGUGCAAUCUGUUUAUCUCAGUUCCAUAUGUCAAGAGGCCAUUUCUGCAGCUUAAUCAAGGAACAACAUGACAACUGAGCCUUAACAGAUAUUUAAACUUCUGUUUCUAAAAGCGCUGGUAUGCAUGGAUAUCACUAAUUGGUAAUUGGUGGACGUUGUAGUUUUUUUCAUGUUAGGGAAAUUUGAUCGUGUUUGGUGCCAUGUCAGUUUAGAGAGGCCUGUCGUGUUUUAACUUAGACAUGUGACAAAAAUGAAAGAUUAAAUAAAUGCAUGCAGAGUUUCUAAAAAGUUAUUUUUAGGGUUUUGAUUCUUCUUCUUUCUCACACAUCUAUGACUGGUGAAAGGCGACAGUUUCACACACAUUGUAAGGCCAUUAUUUUAAUCUGUCGUGAAGUUCUGUUGUACUACAAACAGUUAUAAAGGGGCUCUGCUGAAACGUGUAUAAGAAGUUUAUUAAUAGAAAAGUGUGGUGGUGUGAUUAUAUGGUAGAUAACGUGCCCAUCAUGAGCAGCCAUUGGAAUGAAAGGCGUGACUGUUAUUGCAUGUGACGGAGAUAUUAGUAUGUUAAGGUAUAUGUGUGAGCAUGAAGGUGUGCAUUUAUAUAUAGUGUAUAGAAAUGUGACUGCAUGUGCCUGUCUCUGGGUUUGUCUGUGAGCCUUGGUCUUAGAUCUGUAAGUCCCUGUGUACAAGUGAAAGGUAAGGUUACCAAGUAAGUGUGCCAAGAAUUACGUGUGUGUGUGUCUUAGUAUCUGUACUGGUUGUUGCGUCUCUGGCAAAGUUUGGGGUUGCGUGUUCAGGAUGUGUAGGAUCUGACAUAUUGUAAAGAGAAAUCUGACAGAAUGAAAUCAUUUUAAAUGCAUUUUAUUUGAUAUUUUAUUUGUACUGGACUCUCAUGAUGUAAAAAUGUGUGCAUUUACCAUGCUGUCUUUCUCCUUGUCCGGAGCAGAUCUGUGAUAUUUGGACGUUUUUAUGAGCUGGUCGUUUACAGUGUUUCUAAACAAAUCUGGCAUGACAUAGUGAUCAGUGUAUUUCCAUUACAUAGGUUAGAGGAACCGUGUCAGUGUGUAUGACCACAUGAUUGUACAAUUAUUUUGACGCUUAUAAGCAAUCACUGUCUAUAUUCAGCAAUACUGAGUUGCUAAAAACAUUCUGUUGUUCAUGUUUCAUUCAUAAAUUAACUGUAAGGAUGUCACCCACGUCAAAAUAGUAUAUUGUGAUUAUUUUUAAUUCAGAAGCUAGAUUUUGUAUUAAUUUGUGCCUUACCACGAGCAUGAAAAUAUGCCAUAUAUAUAUAUAUAUAUAUAUAUAUAUAUACGCAUGUGGUCUGUGUGUGUCUGUGAAGUUUGAUGAAUUGCAUUUUGCAUGAAAAGAUGCAGAAUUCUCCAGUGUGUGUGUGUGUGCGGGUUCUCAUGACUCAGAAUUGUAUACUGUAAUAUAAGGAAGCUCUAAGGUGCAUAUAGAAGAUCAGGUAAAGACAAACAGUACUCUACAGAUUUUUUUCAGGAUUAUGUAACCGCAGUUCUGUGUGUAAAAUGGAACGUCAUAUACAUUUUUGGAGCAAAAUGUUAAAUCAUGAGAUAAUAUUAUUGCUUGGAAGGUAAUUAAAUCUAAGGGAGAGGGGGAAAUAUUAUUUUAUAUAUUAGUGAAACCUGUGGAUGUGCUUAAAGAGGACGUGGAAUUUUCUUUGUGUUUGUGUGUGUGUGUGUGUGUGUGUUAUAUGUAUCUGUCGCUGUGUUUGAUUGUAGCUGUCAAAAAACAUGAAUAACAUAACCUAAUUGUCUAUUAUUUGCUACAGCUUUCUCAGUGUUUAAAUAUUCGUUUGUAUUUGUGUUUUUUUUUUUUUUUCUUGUAUCAUUAAGGCCAGGCUGAACAAAAACUUGUGGUUGUGUAUUUGCAGAAACCUAAAAAUGACGAUAUAAGCAGAUGACCGUCUUGCACACGUGCACAUGGAUAUGGAUAACUGCGCUGAAACUCACUUGGGAUUAUUCUAUACUCGUCGAGUGCAGCUGCUUAAUUAAGGACAACUUUGACACCGUCAGGUAUUUAAGUCUCUGUCUCCAUAGGGCUUGCGUUGGAAGCAGUAUGCAGACAUUGAGAACGUUGCCAUUUCCUGUCGUUUCUUCAUGCAUAUGAUGCAUGCAGUAGUUUAAAAAAAAUAAAAACAAAAACAGAAGAAAAAGUGUUGAAUUAAAUUCUGAAGGGUGAAGUAAAAUAUUUGCCAUUCUGAAUUUGGCUUGUUAGAGCACGACUGCGUGUGUGUUUGGUUUGUCUGUAACUAGGCUGCUGUGUGUCAGGGACAGUGGGUGAUACUGUAAGGUCGAGCACAGGGUCUCAGACAUUGUCCUAAAAGACAAGGCGUGGUUUUUUUUGUGCAAAGGUUUUUUUUUGUGCAAAUGGUUAUCGUAGGACGAUGCUUAGAAAAAUAAGUCUUUGUUCCUGUUGACUAAAUGUCAUGACAGCUUUUCUAUUUAGAUGUAAUACGUGCAAAUGUGUUUUGUUAAAAAGAAAUCCGUGGCUUUUUUUUGUCUUAAAGCAUAGACAAGAAGUCACGAGGUUCGUUUCUGGCUUUUUGAAGCGCAAUAAAUGUCGAGAAGGUCGCUGUCCACUGCAAAGGUGCUGAUAACGAUAACCUGCGUACAAACGUUUAAAUCUCAGUGUGUUACUGUCAGACUAUAUGUUAGGUAAAUUGCCUAUAAUUGUUUUAUAGCUUCUAUAGGGCGUAGUGAUGUUAAGGUGUGAUUCAGACACUCAGUGCAUUGUAAACCAUAACGACGUCCACGGCUUCGGAUCAAUUACAUUCUCAGACUUCAGUGUCCGAAAAGAAUAUCGUCGAGAGACACGAAGACAAUUGCAAAUGUAAUACACAAGCCAUUCAGAAAGCAAGAGAAAGGUGAAAGCUGUGAAUACGUCGAUACUGCAGGUGGGGUGAGAGUGGCUCAGGGCGAGGAUGUGUGUGUGUGUGCAUGUACUCUUUGGGUGGAGUAUCUUCAAAAUACUGAAUAUGAAUGAUUUCAAUUAAAAUUAAAAUAAAACAAGAGGCAACUUGUGGGGAAAAAAAGGCCAAGUCUGUAUGUCCGAACACAUUUAAUCCACACUGUAAUCCGAAGCUCAGCUGGAGCAUCAGUGUAUCUAUCAAUAGCAAAGUAUUUUGAUGAAUAUAUGUAUUUAUAUUUAGAGCAAAGCACUGAUAUAUUUUUUUUAAUAUACAUCUGAAAUGGUGCUGUAAAUGUAAGAUGCAAUAAUGUCUGUUUCAUUGUUGUUCUUUGUAUCUGAUAUUUGCAAAGCUGAGAUUUCACUGCUGUCAAAUCGAGUAGCCUACGAGAUAAUGUCCUGUUUGUUGUACAAAUCUGGAUCCAUACAUAUACGUUGCAUUAGGUGUUUUAAGGUUUUAAUGUUUAGUUUAUUUUGACAUAGUUGCAUUGUAUCAUUUUCCUUUAUUGCUUGUCCUGUUGUUUUAUUUUAUAGCUCAAAUAAAUAAAGCUUGCAUUUAAUUGUGCACA